Molecule: long non-coding RNA, 226 nt
Filed under: Elaeis guineensis (African oil palm)
Lineage: Eukaryota; Viridiplantae; Streptophyta; Magnoliopsida; Arecales; Arecaceae
Description: long non-coding RNA (EGUI_LNC067802)
Source: RNAcentral
CACCCAAUGGAUUUAACCCUUUUGGUGGGUCAAUCAAUGUCCAUACAUCAUUGACCUUCAUAGACUCCAUUUCGAAUUUUAUGGCUUCAAGCCAUUUCUCAAAAUCAGGUAUCUGCAUUGCAUCCAUAUAGGUGAUCGGAUCCUCAUCGUUCUCAUCGAGUUCGAUGAGAUCACUGUUUCGAACCAAAAAACUAUAGUAUCUGUCUGACUAAUAUGGUACUCUAUC